AUGAACGCUGGCGGCGUGCCUAAUCCAUGCCAGUCGAGCGAACAGAUGAGGAGCUUGCUCCUCUGACGUUAGCGGCGGACGGGUGAGUAACACGUGGAUAACCUACCUAUAAGACUGGGAUAACUUCGGGAAACCGGAGCUAAUACCGGAUAAUAUAUUGAACCGCAUGGUUCAAUAGUGAAAGACGGUUUUGCUGUCACUUAUAGAUGGAUCCGCGCCGCAUUAGCUAGUUGGUAAGGUAACGGCUUACCAAGGCAACGAUGCGUAGCCGACCUGAGAGGGUGAUCGGCCACACUGGAACUGAGACACGGUCCAGACUCCUACGGGAGGCAGCAGUAGGGAAUCUUCCGCAAGGGGCGAAAGCCUGACGGAGCAACGCCGCGUGAGUGAUGAAGGUCUUCGGAUCGUAAAACUCUGUUAUUAGGGAAGAACAAAUGUGUAAGUAACUAUGCACGUCUUGACGGUACCUAAGCAGAAAGCCACGGCUAACUACGU
Molecule: ribosomal RNA, 495 nt
Filed under: uncultured bacterium
Lineage: Bacteria
Description: partial 16S ribosomal RNA
Rfam family: Bacterial small subunit ribosomal RNA
Source: RNAcentral